Molecule: transfer RNA, 71 nt
Filed under: Ictidomys tridecemlineatus (thirteen-lined ground squirrel)
Lineage: Eukaryota; Metazoa; Chordata; Mammalia; Rodentia; Sciuridae
Description: Spermophilus tridecemlineatus (thirteen-lined ground squirrel) tRNA
Rfam family: tRNA
About the family: Transfer RNA (tRNA) molecules are approximately 80 nucleotides in length. Their secondary structure includes four short double-helical elements and three loops (D, anti-codon, and T loops).
Source: Rfam by way of RNAcentral
UGGGAUGUAGCUCAUGGUAGAGCAUUUGUCUAAUACACACAAGGUCUUGGGCUCAAUUCCCAGUACCACAC